RNAcentral lists this non-coding RNA (581 nucleotides) under Pongo abelii (Sumatran orangutan). Lineage: Eukaryota; Metazoa; Chordata; Mammalia; Primates; Hominidae. The record is from RNAcentral.
GCUCAGCACGUGGCCCUCGAGGACUUGGCGGCUGCGCGGCUGGCGCGUGGAGAAGUUGCGCAUCAUGCUGUGGGCUGCGCGCCGCUGCACCUUCCAGUGCUCCGAGUAGUGGCCGAAAGCCAUGCUGCGGCCGCCGGACACCACACGGAAGGAGGCGAAGGACGGCCGGUCGGCGAAGGCCGAGCCCUGCUGCACCAGGGCCUGGUGGAUGGCGCGCUCGCCAUUCAGCACCACUAUGGGGCAGCUGCCCAGGCGGAUCUGGAAGACGUCGCCGUAGCGCCGCGCCAGGCGCGCGAACGACAGGCAGCACUGAGGAGUAAAGGAAUAUUUGGGAGGAUCAGAAGCUUGGUCCUGAUUUUGCCAUCAACCAGGACCUUGAUGACUUCAAGGGAGUCCCCAAACCCUGGGUUUCUGUUUUCUCAACUCUAACAUGAGGGGCUAGACGCAUCUGGUUUAGUUCGUCUCCAUGAUCCUGUGAAUUUCAGAUGUUGAAAAUCUUCAGAAAAGCCCUGAAAGAUGAAGAGUGGUCUCAAAUAGUCAAGACCCCCUGCUGGGGGGAGCGUCUAUCCUGCUCUGUGGAA